GAACCCUGAAAGGAGAAACCUCAUAGGGGAUCUAUCUCUGGUCUGGUGGUCUCUAACCAUUUCAUUCCUGGGCCUGGGGACCCACAGGAUGUGCAGGCUUUUGUUCCAACUCAAUACUAACAUCCUCAACAACUGUUUUGUAAUGAGCACUACAUGGUCUGCCAUUGGAACUGACUAAAUGCAUGCCAAGCAAUAUCAAAUCAAAUUGAUUUAUAUAGCCCUUCGUACAUCAGCUGAUAUCUCAAAGUGCUGUACAGAAACCCAGCCUAAAACCCCAAACAGCAAGCAAUGCAAUGUGCAUCCCCUUGUUUCUAUUAGUGUGUCUAUCCUGUCAUUUGUUUUUGGUUCAGUGGUCAAUGUUGACUACGUUUCCAUGUUCAUACAGGGGAUAAACAGAAGAACAUGUGUCAGUCUUACCUACGAAGGCAGCUAGGUUCAUGACCUGGCUAAAUACACAGCUGGCCGGGGGAGCAUUGCCUGCAAAGCUGAGAGAGAGGGGGAAGAUGGAGGGACAGAGAAAGAUAUCAUUGUAUUGACAGGAAUCACCAAACCUAGGUAAAGAUUAGUACUAGUAUAGGGUGUGUACUGUACCUUAUAUAUGGAGGGGAUUUAGGGCCAGAUCGGCUGUGAAAAAUGACAUGUAAUAUUUAGAAACUGGUGCGUGGUCAUAAUAACUGGAAUAACAUAUUGCUACGUUAUAAACAAUCCUUACUUGUAUUCUGAACUCAGGGGUGUUAUCUUCUCAUCUUCAACAGCUAUGAAAUACCUGCAACCAAUGAGAACCAUUUUGUUAAUGUCACAUACACACACAGCUGUAAAGCCAAAUGGUGUGUGAGAUAGCAAAAACAUCGUGUUUUUAAAAAUGUGUACUUACACAACCCAGAGUCCAGCAGCUGUGAAGAGAGAGUACAUGGCAGGGAGAAACGUCCAGGGACUGCACUUCCUCAUGGCGUCUCCUGUAUACAAAGACCGUUUCAAACAUCUCCACUGUCUGUCAACAGUAAGACAGGAAAUGAAGGCGGUAGAACUGUUUUAGGACCAACAGGCAAAACGGGUAGAACCUAUCCCUGAGUUGUUUGGUGUGUGUUUGAGGGAAUUACUGUAACUCAACAUAGAAGCACAGGAAUGCUGUUCAGAUGCCACACUUCUGAAUAGUGAGACUGAGAUAAAGUCAGAUAUACAAAAGAAAAACACAAUGAUGCGUUGUUCCCUGAAUUUUACAAUGUAAAAGACUGCAGUCACCACUUCCGGAGUAAUGUUAGGUUUCCAUUGAGGAGGACUGAACUGCUAGGGCUAGUAGCCUACUCCAAUAGCCUGCUAGCUGCUUCAAUAAUUAGUUAUCGUAAGGCAGUCAUACAUAAUUGCACUUAUAAUAACCUUGAAUUAAUUGACAUACAGAUUGGUGCAUGUAUAUUUAGAGGCAGAGCUAAAAGGUGAAUGUUUUUGUCUCGGGCAUAGCCUUGAAUAAAAACGACGUGGCUAACAUGCAACGCUUUCCAUUCUAUUGCUGGCGUGCUGGGAAUUGGAAUUUAACACCCUGUCAAUAUGCUGUUAUGUCAUGUCUGACAUGAUGCUUCCACAACAGAGACAACUUCACAUGUAGGACCUGAGCCCUAGGACUGUGCCCCAGGACUACCUGACAUGAUGACUCCUUGCUGUCCCCAGUCCACCUGACUGUGCUGCUGCUCCAGUUUCAACUGUUCUGCCUUAUUAUUAUUCGACCAUGCUGGUCAUUUAUGAACAUUUGAACAUCUUGGCCAUGUUCUGUUAUAAUCUCUACCCGGCACAGCCAGAAGAGGACUGGCCACCCCACAUAGCCUGGUUCCUCUCUAGGUUUCUUCCUACAUUUUGGCCUUUCUAGGGAGUUUUUCCUAGCCACCGUGCUUUUACACCUGCAUUGCUUGCUGUUUGGGGUUUUAGGCUGGGUUUCUGUACAGCACUUUGAGAUAUCAGCUGAUGUACGAAGGGCUAUAUAAAUACAUUUGAUUUGAUUUGAAACCGGAAAACAGGAAAUAGAUUAAUUCAUCCUCAACAUGGUGCUUUAAACUCUCCCUCAAGUUUCACAAAAACACUGUCUUCUAUGUAGCCCGUUCCUGCAGUCAAAGACCAAAAGUGCCCUCUUUGGCUUCAUGGGUGGAAUGUUAUUCAUAUUUUUCAUAAUGAAUAAAGACGGAUGAAAAUCCAGUGUUUUUAUGUUGAACGGUUUUGUUAUAUUUCAGUCUUCUGUGAUGUGCAAUAUUGGGAUGAACACUCAUAAUUGAAUACAUUUCAACUCUAUAUCUGACAUGGUACCGUUGUUUUAUUUUUUUAAGCCCAUAACCAUGUGUGAGAUGUAUAUUUUUGCAAGCCGGACCAUGUGAAAGGAACUCUUCAACAGUGAAAACUUUGUUCCCAGGAGAACAAGGCCUUUCUUCCAUAGAGGAAAGCAUUUCCUACAGCCCUCAUAUAACCAUGACUCACCCGUGGUCUGCAAUUGAGCAAGCUAACCAUCCUUCCGCACAACCCAUUGCGACUUUAUAGGGAUGCCCUGUGUCGAGGCGCAGCUUACCAUGGCAACAGGAAAUAGCUUAAUUCAUCCUCAACAUGGUGCCUUAAACUCUCCCUGAAGUUUCACAAAAACACUGUCUUCUAUCCUCUCCUUUUGACCUCCAAUGGACACAAUGGUCUUGCAGUUCUAGAAGUUAAGAGCCUUCUUAGAAUGAAUUCUGAAGAGGAUAUUGUUCACAUUAGUUUAGAUUGACUUGAAACUCCCACUGAAUGCAAUGUAUUGACGUGUCAACCCUGUGACACAUCUUUUCCCAUUGAAUGCAAUGUAUUGACGUGUCAACCCUGUGACACAUCUUUUCCCAUUGAAUGCAAUGUAUUGAUGUGUCAACCCUGUGACACAUCUUUUCCCAUUGAAUGCAAUGUAUUGAUGUGUCAACCCUGUGACACAUCUUUUCCCAUUGAAUGCAAUUUAUUCAAAUAAAAUAUUAUUUAUUUGUCACAUA
Oncorhynchus nerka (sockeye salmon) is the source of this 2990-nucleotide long non-coding RNA. RefSeq lists it as uncharacterized. The record is from RefSeq and is a predicted model, not a curated record. Lineage: Eukaryota; Metazoa; Chordata; Actinopteri; Salmoniformes; Salmonidae. The transcript has 2 exons.